GAAAAUUGUUGAGUUCUGCCCAUUUCUUGGCUGUUCGAAUGGAGAAGAAAGAGGAGGGCUGCUGCAUGUUUAAUUUUUGAGCUCAUUUAGGAGUUGGUUCCUUAAGAAACUGCUCAAGAGUAGGUUCGGCUGCUGUUUGGUAAGUCCUUGCAAUGAAACCUUGAAAAUUUUCCAUGUUUAUUAUGUGUUUAAUACAUGCAGGUAAAAUGCGGAUUUAAGGACUGUUAAGCAAAGUUAGUAGUUAAAAAUACAUGUUAUUUGUUACCAAAAUACUGGUGUUAUAAGUGAAGAAGAGUUGAUAAACAAAUGUAUAGUUGGUGUUGAAACCUGUCGUUGAAUGCUGAUAGUUUCAGCAUGUAAUUGUCGUAUUUUAUAGUGCAAUAAAUCCUGGUGUAAUUGAUCUGCUGCUGUUCUAAUUAAGGUAAAAUGUUGGUU
RNAcentral lists this long non-coding RNA (435 nucleotides) under Gossypium raimondii (Peruvian cotton). RNAcentral's name for it is "long non-coding RNA (GRAI_LNC009827)". Lineage: Eukaryota; Viridiplantae; Streptophyta; Magnoliopsida; Malvales; Malvaceae. The record is from RNAcentral.